GGAGAGGUCGCAUAGUGGCCUAGUGCGCUCGCUUGGAAAGCGGGUAGACUCGCAAGGGUCUCGGGGGUUCGAAUCCCCCUCUCUCCGCCA
This 90-nucleotide transfer RNA is filed under the name Candidatus Peregrinibacteria bacterium. RNAcentral's name for it is "tRNA-Ser". It matches the Rfam family "tRNA". From Rfam's summary of the family: Transfer RNA (tRNA) molecules are approximately 80 nucleotides in length. Lineage: Bacteria; Candidatus Peregrinibacteriota. The record is from RNAcentral.